Molecule: ribosomal RNA, 460 nt
Filed under: uncultured bacterium
Lineage: Bacteria
Description: partial 16S ribosomal RNA
Rfam family: Bacterial small subunit ribosomal RNA
Source: RNAcentral
CCUACGGGAGGCAGCAGUGAGGAAUAUUGGUCAAUGGACGAGAGUCUGAACCAGCCAAGUAGCGUGAAGGAUGACUGCCCUAUGGGUUGUAAACUUCUUUUAUAUGGGAAUAAAAUGUUCCACGUGUGGGAUUUUGUAUGUACCAUAUGAAUAAGGAUCGGCUAACUCCGUGCCAGCAGCCGCGGUAAUACGGAGGAUCCGAGCGUUAUCCGGAUUUAUUGGGUUUAAAGGGAGCGUAGGUGGAUUGUUAAGUCAGUUGUGAAAGUUUGCGGCUCAACCGUAAAAUUGCAGUUGAAACUGGCAGUCUUGAGUACAGUAGAGGUGGGCGGAAUUCGUGGUGUAGCGGUGAAAUGCAUAGAUAUCACGCAGAACCCCGAUUGCGAAGGCAGCAUACCGGCUUCCGACUGACGCUGAGGCACGAAGGCCAGGGGAGCGAAAGGGAUUAGAUACCCUUGUAGUC